CCUUCGCGGCUUGUUUCAGGUGCUCUGUGGCCAAAGGUCGACAGGGUGAAACAGGGAAGCCGGUGAGGGCGUGUUUGAUCCACACAACCGCUUUGAUCCCGGCGCUGCCCCCGCAACGGUAAAUGAGUAAAGGCUGCGCUCGAUGUCACUGUGUUUUUGCACGGGAAGACGCGUGGUCAGGGUUGCUCCGUCUGGAGUAUCCCGCUUGUGAGCCCGGAGACCGGCCUGAUCCAUCCAACACCU
This 243-nucleotide non-coding RNA is filed under the name Pseudomonas sp. Lineage: Bacteria; Pseudomonadati; Pseudomonadota; Gammaproteobacteria; Pseudomonadales; Pseudomonadaceae. The record is from RNAcentral.